CCUGUAAGGGGAGUGAAAUAGAACCUGAAACCGUGUACGUACAAGCAGUGGGAGCACCUUCGUGGUGUGACUGCGUACCUUUUGUAUAAUGGGUCAGCGACUUACUGUUCGUGGCAAGCUUAACCGUAUAGGGGAGGCGAAGGGAAACCGAGUCUGAUAAGGGCGCAUAGUCGCGGGCAGUAGACCCGAAACCGGGUGAUCUAGUCAUGGCCAGGGUGAAGGUGCCGUAACAGGUACUGGAGGCCCGAACCCACGUCUGUUGCAAAAGACGGGGAUGAGCUGUGAUUAGGAGUGAAAAGCUAAUCGAACCCGGAGAUAGCUGGUUCUCCUCGAAAGCUAUUUAGGUAGCGCCUCGGACGAAUACUACUGGGGGUAGAGCACUGUUAUGGCUAGGGGGUCAUCGCGACUUACCAAACCAUUGCAAACUCCGAAUACCAGUACGUACUAUCCGGGAGACACACGGCGGGUGCUAACGUCCGUCGUGAAAAGGGAAACAACCCAGACCCACAGCUAAGGUCCCAAAUUCACUGCUAAGUGGAAAACGAUGUGGAAAGGCAUAGACAGCCAGGAGGUUGGCUUAGAAGCAGCCACCCUUUAAAGAAAGCGUAAUAGCUCACUGAUCGAGUCGUCCUGCGCGGAAGAUGUAACGGGGCUAAGCCAGUCACCGAAGCUGCGGAUAUGUCUUUGACAUAUGGUAGGAGAGCGUUCUGUAAGCCUGCGAAGGUGUCUUGUAAAGGAUGCUGGAGGUAUCAGAAGUGCGAAUGCUGACAUGAGUAGCGUUAAAGGGGGUGAAAAGCCCCCUCGCCGUAAGCGCAAGGUUUCCUACGCAACGUUCAUCGGCGUAGGGUGAGUCGGCCCCUAAGGCGAGGCAGAGAUGCGUAGCUGAUGGGAAGCAGGUUAAUAUUCCUGCACC
This 913-nucleotide ribosomal RNA is filed under the name Aurantiochytrium limacinum. RNAcentral describes it as "partial Bacterial large subunit ribosomal RNA". It matches the Rfam family "Bacterial large subunit ribosomal RNA", at positions 526 to 1445 of the family's 2925-position model. The record is from RNAcentral. Lineage: Eukaryota; Bigyra; Thraustochytrida; Thraustochytriidae.